This 209-nucleotide long non-coding RNA is filed under the name Elaeis guineensis (African oil palm). RNAcentral describes it as "long non-coding RNA (EGUI_LNC078394)". The record is from RNAcentral. Lineage: Eukaryota; Viridiplantae; Streptophyta; Magnoliopsida; Arecales; Arecaceae.
CCCCCGAAAGGUGCCUACCUCCGUUCUACCAGAAGAUCCUCGAGAUUCACGAUCAAGAAGAUCUCCUGGAUCAAAGGUUCCAAGAGAUGAAUCGGUGGAUCGAAGAGCUCCGCCAUGCUCCUCCUACUUAUGGUGAGGAUAUUUGUACUGACCCUCCUUUUUCUCAAAGGAUUAUGCAGGAACCGAUCCCGUCAAACUUCAAACUCCCC